GCGUGCUUAACACAUGCAAGUCGAACGGGGAUUACACGGAGAUGCGAUUUCGGUCAAAUCAAGUGCAAUCUUAGUGGCGGACGGGUGAGUAACGCGUGGGUAACCUGCCUCGCACUGGGGGAUAACACUUAGAAAUAGGUGCUAAUACCGCAUAAGCGCACGGUCCUGCAUGGGACAGUGUGAAAAACUCCGGUGGUGCAAGAUGGACCCGCGUCUGAUUAGCUGGUUGGCGGGGUAAAGGCCCACCAAGGCGACGAUCAGUAGCCGGCCUGAGAGGGUGGACGGCCACAUUGGGACUGAGACACGGCCCAAACUUCUACGGGAGGCAGCAGUGGGGGAUAUUGGACAAUGGGGGGAACCCUGAUCCAGCGACGCCGCGUGAGUGAAGAAGUAUUUCGGUAUGUAAAGCUCUGUCAGCAGGGAAGAAAGCAAUGACGGUACCUGACCAAGAAGCCCCGGCUAACUACGUGCCAGCAGCCGCGGUAAUACGUAGGGGGCAAGCGUUAUCCGGAAUUACUGGGUGUAAAGGGAGCGUAGACGGCUGUGCAAGUCUGGAGUGAAAGGCGGGGGCCCAACCCCCCGGACUGCUCUGGAAACUGUAUGGCUGGAGUGCAGGAGAGGUAAGCGGAAUUCCUAGUGUAGCGGUGAAAUGCGUAGAUAUUAGGAGGAACACCAGUGGCGAAGGCGGCUUACUGGACUGUAACUGACGUUGAGGCUCGAAAGCGUGGGGAGCAAACAGGAUUAGAUACCCUGGUAGUCCACGCCGUAA
RNAcentral lists this ribosomal RNA (769 nucleotides) under uncultured bacterium. Its description in RNAcentral is "bacterial SSU rRNA". It matches the Rfam family "Bacterial small subunit ribosomal RNA", at positions 42 to 805 of the family's 1533-position model. The record is from RNAcentral.